GACGAACGCUGGCGGCGUGCUUAACACAUGCAAGUCGAACGAGAAAGCGCCUUCGGGCGUGAGUACAGUGGCGAACGGGUGAGUAACACGUGGGCAACCUGCCCCAGAGACCGGGAUAACGCCCCGAAAGGGACGCUAAUACCGGGUGAUGCGCGAUCUGCCAAGUAGGUCGCGCCAAAUGGUAGCUUCGGCUUCUGCUCUGGGAUGGGCCCGCGCCGGAUUAGCUUGUUGGUGAGGUAACGGCUCACCAAGGCGACGAUCCGUAGCUGGUCUGAGAGGACGAUCAGCCACACUGGAACUGAGACACGGUCCAGACCUCCGUACGGGUGCACG
RNAcentral lists this ribosomal RNA (333 nucleotides) under uncultured Actinomycetes bacterium. Its description in RNAcentral is "bacterial SSU rRNA". It matches the Rfam family "Bacterial small subunit ribosomal RNA", at positions 28 to 351 of the family's 1533-position model. The record is from RNAcentral. Lineage: Bacteria; Bacillati; Actinomycetota; Actinomycetes.